AUCUAACUGACCUGUCCCAAAUAGGAUGAAACGCGUGUCCUGGAU
Schistosoma mattheei is the source of this 45-nucleotide non-coding RNA. The record is from Rfam. NCBI's taxonomy places the organism in Eukaryota, Metazoa, Platyhelminthes, Trematoda, Strigeidida, Schistosomatidae.